UAAACAUUGAUGACACCCUACAUUUUUCAUCCGCCCGGGAACUACAAGCAUUAGCUUAAAACCCAAAGGACUUGGCGGUGCUUAAGAUCCACCUAGAGGAGCCUGUUCUAGAACCGAUAACCCCCGUUCAACCUCACCCUCCCUUGUUUUUCCCGCCUAUAUACCGCCGUCGUCAGCUUACCCCGUGAAGGUUUUGUAGUAAGCAAAAUUGGCACAGCCUAAAACGUCAGGUCAAGGUGUAGCGAAUGAGAGGGGAAGAAAUGGGCUACAUUUUUUAAUACAAGAAAUACGAAUAAUGUGCUGAAACGUACAUUUGAAGGAGGAUUUAGCAGUAAGCAGAAAAUAGAGCGUUCCGCUGAAAUCGGCCCUAAAGCGCGCACACACCGCCCGUCACUCUCCCCAAGCAAUAAAUCAUUUAUAAAUAAUAAACUAUAAAAGCAAAGGGGAGGCAAGUCGUAACAUGGUAAGUGUACCGGAAGGUGCACUUGGAAAAAU
Molecule: ribosomal RNA, 495 nt
Filed under: Belontia signata
Lineage: Eukaryota; Metazoa; Chordata; Actinopteri; Anabantiformes; Osphronemidae
Description: partial 12S ribosomal RNA
Rfam family: Bacterial small subunit ribosomal RNA
Source: RNAcentral